UACGUAGGGGGCGAGCGUUGUCCGGAUUUAUUGGGCGUAAAGAGCUCGUAGGCGGUUCAACAAGUCGGUCGUGAAAGUUCAGGGCUCAACCCUGAAAUGUCGAUCGAUACUGUUGUGACUAGGAUACGGUAGAGGUGAGUGGAAUUCCGAGUGUAGCGGUGAAAUGCGUAGAUAUUCGGAGGAACACCAAUUGCGAAGGCAGCUCACUGGGCCGCUAUCGACGCUGAGGAGCGAAAGCUAGGGGAGCAAACAGGAUUAGAUACCCUGGUAGUCCUAGCUGUAAACGAUGGAUACUAGACGUAGGAACUGGAUUGACGGUUUCUGUGUCGUAGCUAACGCGUUAAGUAUCCCGCCUGGGGAGUACGGUCGCAAGACUAAAACUCAAAGGAAUUGACGGGACCCCGCACAAGCGGCGGAGCAUGCGGCUUAAUUCGAUGAUACCCGUAGAACCUUACCUGGACUUGACAUAUAGGGUCUAGCUAUAGAGAUAUAGUGUGCAUUAGCGCCUUAUACAGGUGGUGCAUGGCUGUCGUCAGCUCGUGUCGUGAGAUGUUGGGUUAAGUCCCGCAACGAGCGCAACCCCUGUCCUAUGUUGCCAGCAUUUAGUUGGGGACUCAUAGGAGACUGCCGGUGAUAAACCGGGGGAAGGUGGGGACGACGUCAAGUCAUCAUGCCCCUUAUGUCCAGGGCUGCACGCAUGCUACAAUGGCAAGUACAACGAGUCGCAAUACCGCGAGGUGGAGCAAAUCUCUUAAAGCUUGUCUCAGUUCGGAUAGGAGUCUGCAACUCGACUCCUUGAAGUUGGAGUCGCUAGUAAUCGCAAAUCAGCAAAGUUGCGGUGAAUACGUUCUCGGGGUU
Molecule: ribosomal RNA, 858 nt
Filed under: uncultured bacterium
Lineage: Bacteria
Description: SSU rRNA
Rfam family: Bacterial small subunit ribosomal RNA
Source: RNAcentral